RNAcentral lists this ribosomal RNA (253 nucleotides) under uncultured bacterium. RNAcentral's name for it is "partial 16S ribosomal RNA". It matches the Rfam family "Bacterial small subunit ribosomal RNA", at positions 524 to 776 of the family's 1533-position model. The record is from RNAcentral.
UACAGAGGUCUCAAGCGUUGUUCGGAUUCAUUGGGCGUAAAGAGCGUGUAGGCGGCCAGAUAAGUCCGCUGUGAAAUCUCGAGGCUCAACUUCGAGCUGUCGGUGGAAACUAUCUGGCUAGAGUCCGGAAGAGGAGAAUGGAAUUCCUGGUGUAGCGGUGAAAUGCGCAGAUAUCAGGAAGAACACCAAUGACGAAAGCAGCUCGCUGGAACGGUACUGACGCUGAGGCGCGAAAGCGUGGGGAGCGAACAGG